UGGUCCUGGCCUUGAAGUCAGCUCUUACUUAGUAUACACAUGCAAGUUUCCGCACCCCUGUGAGAACGCCCUUAAACCUCUCUAAGAGAUCAGGAGCCGGUAUCAGGCACAAAAAUUAGCCCAAGACACCUAGCUUUGCCACACCCACACGGGAAAACAGCAGUGAUUAAUAUUGUGAAUAAGCGACAGCUUGAAGCAGCUAAAGUAAAGAGAGCCGGCAAAUCUGGUGCCAGCCGCCGCGGUUACACCAUUAGGCUCAAACUGACCUCCUCCGGCGUAAAGCGUGAUUAAAGUGUCCAAUAACCUGCAAUUUAACUAUAAUUAAGCUGUGACACGCUUAUUAUCAGGAAAGUCAAAAACGAAAGCUAUUGCAACCUUAACAACUUGAACUCACGACAACUAGGACACAAACUGGGAUUAGAUACCCCACUAUGCCUAGUCGUAAACUUUUAUUUACAUCCAAACCGCCAGGGAACUACGAGCUAAGCUUAAAACCCAAAGGACUUGACGGUACCCCAUAUCCACCUAGAGGAGCCUGUCCUAUAAUCGAUAACCCCCGCUUUACCUCACCAUUUUUAGCCUAUCAGCCUGUAUACCUCCGUCGUCAGCUUACCACGUGAGCGUAAAUCAGUGAGCUCAAUGCCCAUACAUCAAUACGUCAAUACGUCAGGUCAAGGUGCAGCAUAUAAAAUGGAAAGAGAUGGGCUACACUAUCUAAUCUAGAUCAUACGAAAGACUAUUUAUGAAACCUAGUCAGAAGGCGGAUUUAGAAGUAAAGAAAGACUAAAGUGCUUUCUUUAACAUGGCACUGGGGUGUGUACACACCGCCCGUCACCCUCUUCGAAGCCCCAAGACAGUUUUUAACUCACUCAAGCAUUAAAGAAGAGGCAAGUCGUAACAUGGUAAGUAUACCGGAAGGUGUGCUUGGAAA
This 931-nucleotide non-coding RNA is filed under the name Dendropsophus seniculus (Corcovado treefrog). RNAcentral describes it as "partial 12S ribosomal RNA". It matches the Rfam family "Bacterial small subunit ribosomal RNA". Lineage: Eukaryota; Metazoa; Chordata; Amphibia; Anura; Hylidae. The record is from RNAcentral.